RNAcentral lists this ribosomal RNA (478 nucleotides) under uncultured bacterium. Its description in RNAcentral is "partial 16S ribosomal RNA". It matches the Rfam family "Bacterial small subunit ribosomal RNA", at positions 28 to 523 of the family's 1533-position model. The record is from RNAcentral.
GACGAACGCUGGCGGCGUGCUUAACACAUACAAGUCGAGCGGUAAGGCCCUUCGGGGUACACGAGUGGCGAACGGGUGAGUAACACGUGGGUGAUCUGCCCUGCACUUCGGGAUAAGCCUGGGAAACUGGGUCUAAUACCGGAUAGGACCACUGCCUGCAUGGGUGGUGGUGGCAAGCUUUUGCGGUGUGGGAUGGGCCCGCGGCCUACCAGCUUGUUGGUGGGGUGAUGGCCUACCAAGGCGACGACGGGUAGCCGGCCUGAGAGGGUGACCGGCCACACUGGGACUGAGAUACGGCCCAGACUCCUACGGGAGGCAGCAGUGGGGAAUAUUGCACAAUGGGCGCAAGCCUGAUGCAGCGACGCCGCGUGAGGGAUGACGGCCCUCGGGUUGUAAACCUCUUUCAGCACCGACGAAGCGCAAGUGACGGUAGGUGCAGAAGAAGGACCGGCCAACUACGUGCCAGCCGCCGCCGUAA